RNAcentral lists this ribosomal RNA (898 nucleotides) under Escherichia coli. RNAcentral's name for it is "partial 23S ribosomal RNA". It matches the Rfam family "Bacterial large subunit ribosomal RNA", at positions 880 to 1774 of the family's 2925-position model. The record is from RNAcentral. Lineage: Bacteria; Pseudomonadati; Pseudomonadota; Gammaproteobacteria; Enterobacterales; Enterobacteriaceae.
CCUCGUGAAUUCAUCUCCGGGGGUAGAGCACUGUUUCGGCAAGGGGGUCAUCCCGACUUACCAACCCGAUGCAAACUGCGAAUACCGGAGAAUGUUAUCACGGGAGACACACGGCGGGUGCUAACGUCCGUCGUGAAGAGGGAAACAACCCAGACCGCCAGCUAAGGUCCCAAAGUCAUGGUUAAGUGGGAAACGAUGUGGGAAGGCCCAGACAGCCAGGAUGUUGGCUUAGAAGCAGCCAUCAUUUAAAGAAAGCGUAAUAGCUCACUGGUCGAGUCGGCCUGCGCGGAAGAUGUAACGGGGCUAAACCAUGCACCGAAGCUGCGGCAGCGACGCUGAUGCGUUGUUGGGUAGGGGAGCGUUCUGUAAGCCUGUGAAGGUGUGCUGUGAGGCAUGCUGGAGGUAUCAGAAGUGCGAAUGCUGACAUAAGUAACGAUAAAGCGGGUGAAAAGCCCGCUCGCCGGAAGACCAAGGGUUCCUGUCCAACGUUAAUCGGGGCAGGGUGAGUCGACCCCUAAGGCGAGGCCGAAAGGCGUAGUCGAUGGGAAACAGGUUAAUAUUCCUGUACUUGGUGUUACUGCGAAGGGGGGACGGAGAAGGCUAUGUUGGCCGGGCGACGGUUGUCCCGGUUUAAGCGUGUAGGCUGGUUUUCCAGGCAAAUCCGGAAAAUCAAGGCUGAGGCGUGAUGACGAGGCACUACGGUGCUGAAGCAACAAAUGCCCUGCUUCCAGGAAAAGCCUCUAAGCAUCAGGUAACAUCAAAUCGUACCCCAAACCGACACAGGUGGUCAGGUAGAGAAUACCAAGGCGCUUGAGAGAACUCGGGUGAAGGAACUAGGCAAAAUGGUGCCGUAACUUCGGGAGAAGGCACGCUGAUAUGUAGGUGAAGCGACUUGCUC